This 548-nucleotide ribosomal RNA is filed under the name Cryptosporidium ryanae. Its description in RNAcentral is "SSU rRNA". It matches the Rfam family "Eukaryotic small subunit ribosomal RNA", at positions 321 to 907 of the family's 1831-position model. The record is from RNAcentral. Lineage: Eukaryota; Apicomplexa; Conoidasida; Eucoccidiorida; Cryptosporidiidae.
UUAGACGGUAGGGUAUUGGCCUACCGUGGCUAUGACGGGUAACGGGGAAUUAGGGUUCGAUUCCGGAGAGGGAGCCUGAGAAACGGCUACCACAUCUAAGGAAGGCAGCAGGCGCGCAAAUUACCCAAUCCUAAUACAGGGAGGUAGUGACAAGAAAUAACAAUACAGAGCCUUACGGUUUUGUAAUUGGAAUGAGUUAAGUAUAAACCCCUUAACAAGUAUCAAUUGGAGGGCAAGUCUGGUGCCAGCAGCCGCGGUAAUUCCAGCUCCAAUAGCGUAUAUUAAAGUUGUUGCAGUUAAAAAGCUCGUAGUUAAUUUUCUGUUAAUUUUUAUAUACAAUGCUACGGUAUUUAUAUAAUAUUAACAUAAUUCAUAUUACUUUUUAGUAUAUGAAACUUUACUUUGAGAAAAUUAGAGUGCUUAAAGCAGGCUAUUGCCUUGAAUACUCCAGCAUGGAAUAAUAUUAAGGAUUUUUAUUCUUCUUAUUGGUUCUAGAAUAAAAAUAAUGAUUAAUAGGGACAGUUGGGGGCAUUUGUAUUUAACAGUCA